RNAcentral lists this ribosomal RNA (250 nucleotides) under uncultured bacterium. Its description in RNAcentral is "partial 16S ribosomal RNA". It matches the Rfam family "Bacterial small subunit ribosomal RNA", at positions 524 to 773 of the family's 1533-position model. The record is from RNAcentral.
UACGAGGGGUGCAAGCGUUAAUCGGAAUUACUGGGCGUAAAGCGUGCGUAGGUGGUUUGUUAAGCAAGAUGUGAAAGCCCCGGGCUCAACCUGGGAACUGCAUUUUGAACUGGCAAGCUAGAGUAUUGUAGAGGGUAGUGGAAUUUCCAGUGUAGCGGUGAAAUGCGUAGAGAUUGGAAGGAACAUCAGUGGCGAAGGCGGCUACCUGGACAAAUACUGACACUGAGGCACGAAAGCGUGGGGAGCAAAC